CCUACGGGGGGCUGCAGUGGGGAAUAUUGGACAAUGGGCGAAAGCCUGAUCCAGCCAUGCCGCGUGUGUGAAGAAGGCCUUCGGGUUGUAAAGCACUUUCAGUGGGGAAGAAAGCCUUGGGGCUAAUACCCUCGAGGAAGUACAUCACCCACAGAAGAAGCACCGGCUAACUCCGUGCCAGCAGCCGCGGUAAUACGGAGGGUGCGAGCGUUAAUCGGAAUUACUGGGCGUAAAGCGCGCGUAGGCGGUCUGAUAAGCCGGUUGUGAAAGCCCCGGGCUCAACCUGGGAACGGCAUCCGGAACUGUCAGGCUAGAGUGCAGGAGAGGAAGGUAGAAUUCCCGGUGUAGCGGUGAAAUGCGUAGAGAUCGGGAGGAAUACCAGUGGCGAAGGCGGCCUUCUGGACUGACACUGACGCUGAGGUGCGAAAGCGUGGGUAGCAAACAGGAUUAGAUACCCUAGUAGUC
Molecule: ribosomal RNA, 465 nt
Filed under: Vreelandella stevensii
Lineage: Bacteria; Pseudomonadati; Pseudomonadota; Gammaproteobacteria; Oceanospirillales; Halomonadaceae
Description: partial 16S ribosomal RNA
Rfam family: Bacterial small subunit ribosomal RNA
Source: RNAcentral